RNAcentral lists this ribosomal RNA (328 nucleotides) under Bacillus cereus. Its description in RNAcentral is "bacterial SSU rRNA". It matches the Rfam family "Bacterial small subunit ribosomal RNA", at positions 432 to 751 of the family's 1533-position model. Lineage: Bacteria; Bacillati; Bacillota; Bacilli; Caryophanales; Bacillaceae. The record is from RNAcentral.
UCUGUUGUUAGGGAAGAACAAGUGCUAGUUGAAUAAGCUGGCACCUUGACGGUACCUAACCAGAAAGCCACGGCUAACUACCUGCCAGCAGCCGCGGUAAUACGUAGGUGGGAAGCGUUAUCCGGAAUUAUUGGGCGUAAAGCGCGCGCAGGUGGUUUCUUAAGUCUGAUGUGAAAGCCCACGGCUCAACCGUGGAGGGUCAUUGGAAACUGGGAGACUUGAGUGCAGAAGAGGAAAGUGGAAUUCCAUGUGUAGCGGUGAAAUGCGUAGAGAUAUGGAGGAACACCAGUGNCGAAUGCGACUUUCUGGUCUGUAACUGACACUGAGG